RNAcentral lists this unclassified non-coding RNA (332 nucleotides) under Hevea brasiliensis (rubber tree). The record is from RNAcentral. Lineage: Eukaryota; Viridiplantae; Streptophyta; Magnoliopsida; Malpighiales; Euphorbiaceae.
GAUUGUUAGUAAUGUUCUUUUGAAGUUUUAUUACCUCAUUUUGUUCCUUAUCCAAUGUAUAAUGAAAUAAAUCUUUGAGCCAUUGACUGUCCAAGCAUGAUGUGGGUAUCAUCAUUCCUGUGUGCGUCAACAUUUUCAGGAACUAUUAUAUCAUUUCCCCAAACUUUCUUAUCUAAUAUCUGGUUAGUAAACUGCAAUUAGGAAUCAAUGAGAAUACAUUAUGAUAUUGCACUCUCUCAAGUUUUGCAUCUGUGGCAAAAAUGCUUAUGGACUGGUGCAUCUCAUCGUUUGCUGUCUUCCACUCUAACAGGAGGCUGAUUCCUCUAAGCAUG